CAGCCAUAUUGGGUUACAACCCACCCUCAUGACCUCAUUCAAACUUAAUUACCUCCAUGAGGAUCGCAUCUCCAAAUACAAUCACAUUCCAAGGCCUGAAGUUUCUCACUCAUUAACCUGGAGCAACAAAAUGGAAAGAAUUCUGAUGACAAAGUAGAGAACCUGUCCCUUUGCUGGCUCUGAGGAUGACUGACUGUUGUGUGGGUGAGGUCUGCAGACAGAAGCCAGCUCUGCUCUCUCCAUUGAGUCUCACUCUUGUCACCCAGGCUGGAGUAUAGUGGCGCAAUCUCGGCUCACUGCAACCUCCACCUCCCGAGUUGAAGCAAUUCUACUGCCUCAGCCUCCUGAGUAGCUGGGAUUACAGAUGCCCGCCACCACGCCCAGCUAAUUUUUGUACUUUUAGUAGAGACGGGGUUUCGCCAUAUUGGCCAGGCUGGUCUCGAACUCCUGAUCUCAGAGAAACUAGAGGAAAGCUUUACAACAUUCUAUCUGGAAUAGAAGGUGUGGGUUGCAAUCAUUGAGGUGAUGUAAUUACCACUAUUCUUUUGAAGUGAAUUUUAGACCAGGAUAGUUUAUAAGAUACAGCAAAUCAUCAAUAAACAUUUAGUAUGCCAGUCACUGUGAGUCUAUAGGAAUAAAAUGUGCUCCUGCCCUUGAGGAAUCCACAGUUUACUUAGAGAAAAAGGCAUACACAGAAGAGAUAAUUAGCAGCCGGUGAGAGCAAGCAUCAUGCGAGAAAAUUAAAUAAUGGGGAUUCAAAUCUUAUUGGUAGAUGACAUUCAGACUUUAAACAUUCAAGCAAAGAUAUUUCUUUGAAAACUGGAGGUGAAUGUCACUUGCUUAAGUUCAUAUUUGGAACAAAGGAAAUUCACAAUUAUAAUACAUGUUGAAAUGAAAUUUGUAAUGUGGAAAAUCUUUAAAUUUACUUACGUAUUUCUUCAUGAGGUCAUAUUUAGAGAUUUAGUGGCAUUGGUGAAUAGGAAAUAAUGUACAGAACAUUUAAAUGGCUAUUUCAGAGAUUAGAAAAGAAGUAAAAGCAAUUAAAAUAUGUUUUCAGUGUUGGGACUUUUGUUCAUAUAAGACCAUUGAGUGAACAUGCCUAGUGAGUGUGAGGACAUAGGUUUG
This is a long non-coding RNA of Homo sapiens (human), 1125 nucleotides long. RefSeq lists it as uncharacterized. The record is from RefSeq and is a predicted model, not a curated record. The transcript has 4 exons. NCBI's taxonomy places the organism in Eukaryota, Metazoa, Chordata, Mammalia, Primates, Hominidae.